AUUGAACGCUGGCGGCAUGCUUUACACAUGCAAGUCGAACGGUAACAGGCCUUCGGGUGCUGACGAGUGGCGAACGGGUGAGUAAUGCAUCGGAACGUACCCAGAGGUGGGGGAUAACGCAGCGAAAGCUGUGCUAAUACCGCAUGUGAUCUGGGGAUGAAAGCGGGGGACCGAGCAGCAAUGUUUGGCCUCGCGCCUUUGGAGCGGCCGAUGUCGGAUUAGCUAGUUGGUGGGGUAAAGGCCUACCAAGGCGACGAUCCGUAGCUGGUCUGAGAGGACGACCAGCCACACUGGGACUGAGACACGGCCCAGACUCCUACGGGAGGCAGCAGUGGGGAAUUUUGGACAAUGGGCGCAAGCCUGAUCCAGCAAUGCCGCGUGCGGGAAGAAGGCCUUCGGGUUGUAAACCGCUUUUGGCAGGAACGAAACGGUGUCCGCUAAUACCGGGCGCUAAUGACGGUACUUGCAGAAUAAGCACCGGCUAACUACGUG
RNAcentral lists this ribosomal RNA (492 nucleotides) under uncultured bacterium. RNAcentral's name for it is "partial 16S ribosomal RNA". It matches the Rfam family "Bacterial small subunit ribosomal RNA", at positions 29 to 507 of the family's 1533-position model. The record is from RNAcentral.